UUAGUAACGGCGAGUGAGCGGUAAAAGCUCAAAUUUGAAAUCUGGUACUUUCAGUGCCCGAGUUGUAAUUUGUAGAAUUUGUCUUUGAUUAGGUCCUUGUCUAUGUUCCUUGGAACAGGACGUCAUAGAGGGUGAGAAUCCCGUUUGGCGAGGAUACCUUUUCUCUGUAAGACUUUUUCGAAGAGUCGAGUUGUUUGGGAAUGCAGCUCAAAGUGGGUGGUAAAUUCCAUCUAAAGCUAAAUAUUGGCGAGAGACCGAUAGCGAACAAGUACAGUGAUGGAAAGAUGAAAAGAACUUUGAAAAGAGAGUGAAAAAGUACGUGAAAUUGUUGAAAGGGAAGGGCAUUUGAUCAGACAUGGUGUUUUUUGCAUGCACUCGCCUCUCGUGGGCUUGGGCCUCUCAAAAAUUUCACUGGGCCAACAUCAAUUCUGGCAGCAGGAUAAAUCAUUAAGAAUGUAGCUACUUCGGUAGUGUUAUAGCUUUUUGGAAUACUGUUAGCCGGGAUUGAGGACUGCGCUUCGGCAAGGAUGUUGGCAUAAUGGUUAAAUGCCGCCCGUCUUGAACCACGGGACCAA
This 575-nucleotide ribosomal RNA is filed under the name Hanseniaspora uvarum. RNAcentral's name for it is "partial large subunit ribosomal RNA". It matches the Rfam family "Eukaryotic large subunit ribosomal RNA", at positions 80 to 664 of the family's 3401-position model. The record is from RNAcentral. Lineage: Eukaryota; Fungi; Ascomycota; Saccharomycetes; Saccharomycodales; Saccharomycodaceae.